GGGUUGUGAGGUUAAGCGACUAAGCGUACACGGUGGAUGCCCUGGCAGUCAGAGGCGAUGAAGGACGUGCUAAUCUGCGAAAAGCGNNNNNNNNNNNNNNNNNNNNNNNNNNNNNNNNNNNNCACUAUCGUUAACUGAAUACAUAGGUUAACGAGGCGAACCGGGGGAACUGAAACAUCUAAGUACCCCGAGGAAAAGAAAUCAACCGAGAUUCCCCCAGUAGCGGCGAGCGAACGGGGAGCAGCCCGGAGUCUGAAUCAGCUUGUGUGUUAGUGGAACGGUCUGGAAAGUCCGACGGUACAGGGUGAUAGUCCCGUACACGAAAACACACUUGCUGUGAACUCGAAGAGUAGGGCGGGACACGUGGUAUCCUGUCUGAAUAUGGGGGGACCAUCCUCCAAGGCUAAAUACUCCUGACUGACCGAUAGUGAACCAGUACCGUGAGGGAAAGGCGAAAAGAACCCCGGCGAGGGGAGUGAAAAAGAACCUGAAACCGUGUACGUACAAGCAGUGGGAGCCUCUUUAUGGGGUGACUGCGUACCUUUUGUAUAAUGGGUCAGCGACUUAUAUUCUGUAGCAAGGUUAACCGUAUAGGGGAGCCGAAGGGAAACCGAGUCUUAACUGGGCGUUAAGUUGCAGGGUAUAGACCCGAAACCCGGUGAUCUAGCCAUGGGCAGGUUGAAGGUUGGGUAACACUAACUGGAGGACCGAACCGACUAAUGUUGAAAAAUUAGCGGAUGACCUGUGGCUGGGGGUGAAAGGCCAAUCAAACCGGGAGAUAGCUGGUUCUCCCCGAAAGCUAUUUAGGUAGCGCCUCGUGAACUCAUCUUCGGGGGUAGAGCACUGUUUCGGCUAGGGGGCCAUCCCGGCUUACCAACCCGAUGCAAACUACGAAUACCGAAGAAUGUUAUCACGGGAGACACACGGCGGGUGCUAACGUCCGUCGUGAAGAGGGAAACAACCCAGACCGCCAGCUAAGGUCCCAAAGUCAUGGUUAAGUGGGAAACGAUGUGGGAAGGCACAGACAGCCAGGAUGUUGGCUUAGAAGCAGCCAUCAUUUAAAGAAAGCGUAAUAGCUCACUGGUCGAGUCGGCCUGCGCGGAAGAUGUAACGGGGCUAAACCAUGCACCGAAGCUGCGGCAGCGACACUAUGUGUUGUUGGGUAGGGGAGCGUUCUGUAAGCCGUUGAAGGUGUGCUGUGAGGCAUGCUGGAGGUAUCAGAAGUGCGAAUGCUGACAUAAGUAACGAUAAAGCGGGUGAAAAGCCCGCUCGCCGGAAGACCAAGGGUUCCUGUCCAACGUUAAUCGGGGCAGGGUGAGUCGACCCCUAAGGCGAGGCCGAAAGGCGUAGUCGAUGGGAAACAGGUUAAUAUUCCUGUACUUGGUGUUACUGCGAAGGGGGGACGGAGAAGGCUAUGUCAGCCGGGCGACGGUUGUCCCGGUUUAAGCAUGUAGGCGGAGGUUCCAGGUAAAUCCGGUACCUUUUAACGCUGAGGUGUGAUGACGAGGCACUACGGUGCUGAAGUGAUAAAUGCCCUGCUUCCAGGAAAAGCCUCUAAGCAUCAGGUAACACGAAAUCGUACCCCAAACCGACACAGGUGGUCAGGUAGAGAAUACCAAGGCGCUUGAGAGAACUCGGGUGAAGGAACUAGGCAAAAUGGUGCCGUAACUUCGGGAGAAGGCACGCUGAUAUGUAGGUGAAGUCCCUGCGGACGGAGCUGAAAUCAGUCGAAGAUACCAGCUGGCUGCAACUGUUUAUUAAAAACACAGCACUGUGCAAACACGAAAGUGGACGUAUACGGUGUGACGCCUGCCCGGUGCCGGAAGGUUAAUUGAUGGGGUUAGCGGCAACGCGAAGCUCUUGAUCGAAGCCCCGGUAAACGGCGGCCGUAACUAUAACGGUCCUAAGGUAGCGAAAUUCCUUGUCGGGUAAGUUCCGACCUGCACGAAUGGCGUAAUGAUGGCCAGGCUGUCUCCACCCGAGACUCAGUGAAAUUGAACUCGCUGUGAAGAUGCAGUGUACCCGCGGCAAGACGGAAAGACCCCGUGAACCUUUACUAUAGCUUGACACUGAACACUGGUCCUUGAUGUGUAGGAUAGGUGGGAGGCUUUGAAGCGUGGACGCCAGUCUGCGUGGAGCNNAUCCGGGUUGCGGACAGUGUCUGGUGGGUAGUUUGACUGGGGCGGUCUCCUCCCAAAGAGUAACGGAGGAGCACGAAGGUUGGCUAAUCCUGGUCGGACAUCAGGAGGUUAGUGCAAUGGCAUAAGCCAGCUUGACUGCGAGCGUGACGGCGCGAGCAGGUGCGAAAGCAGGUCAUAGUGAUCCGGUGGUUCUGAAUGGAAGGGCCAUCGCUCAACGGAUAAAAGGUACUCCGGGGAUAACAGGCUGAUACCGCCCAAGAGUUCAUAUCGACGGCGGUGUUUGGCACCUCGAUGUCGGCUCAUCACAUCCUGGGGCUGAAGUAGGUCCCAAGGGUAUGGCUGUUCGCCAUUUAAAGUGGUACGCGAGCUGGGUUUAGAACGUCGUGAGACAGUUCGGUCCCUAUCUGCCGUGGGCGCUGGAGAAUUGAGGGGGGCUGCUCCUAGUACGAGAGGACCGGAGUGGACGCAUCACUGGUGUUCGGGUUGUCAUGCCAAUGGCACUGCCCGGUAGCUAAAUGCGGAAGAGAUAAGUGCUGAAAGCAUCUAAGCACGAAACUUGCCCCGAGAUGAGUUCUCCCUGAGACUUUAAGUCUCCUGAAGGAACGUUGAAGACGACGACGUUGAUAGGUCGGGUGUGUAAGCGCAGCGAUGCGUUGAGCUAACCGAUACUAAUGAACCGUGAGGCUUAACCUUACAACGCCGAAG
This 2846-nucleotide ribosomal RNA is filed under the name Enterobacter hormaechei. RNAcentral's name for it is "partial 23S ribosomal RNA". It matches the Rfam family "Bacterial large subunit ribosomal RNA". Lineage: Bacteria; Pseudomonadati; Pseudomonadota; Gammaproteobacteria; Enterobacterales; Enterobacteriaceae. The record is from RNAcentral.